This 1064-nucleotide ribosomal RNA is filed under the name Auricularia heimuer. RNAcentral describes it as "partial large subunit ribosomal RNA". It matches the Rfam family "Eukaryotic large subunit ribosomal RNA", at positions 117 to 1172 of the family's 3401-position model. Lineage: Eukaryota; Fungi; Basidiomycota; Agaricomycetes; Auriculariales; Auriculariaceae. The record is from RNAcentral.
GAAAUCUGGCGGUCUCAGGCCGUCCGAGUUGUAAUCUAGAGAGGUGUUUUCCGUGCCGGACCGUGUACAAGUCCCUUGGAACAGGGCGUCAUAGAGGGUGAGAAUCCCGUCCAUGACACGGACUACCGGUGCUCUGUGAUACACCUUCAAAGAGUCGAGUUGUUUGGGAAUGCAGCUCAAAACGGGUGGUAAAUUCCAUCUAAAGCUAAAUACAGGCGAGAGACCGAUAGCGAACAAGUACCGUGAGGGAAAGAUGAAAAGAACUUUGGAAAGAGAGUUAAACAGUACGUGAAAUUGUUGAAAGGGAAACGCUUGAAGUCAGUCGCGUCCGUAGGGACUCAGCCUUGCUUUUGCUUGGUGCACUUCUCUGCGGACGGGCCAGCAUCGAUUUUGGUCGCCGGAAAAGGGCGGGAGGAAUGUGGCAGCUUUUAGCUGUGUUAUAGCCUUUCGUCGUACACGGUGGCUGGGAUCGAGGACUGCAGCACGCCUUUGGUCGGGGUUCGCCCACGCCACGUGCUUAGGAUGCUGGCGUAAUGGCUUUAAACGACCCGUCUUGAAACACGGACCAAGGAGUCUAACAUGCCUGCGAGUGUUUGGGUGCAAAACCCAGGCGCGUAAUGAAAGUGAAAAGUUGGGACUCUUUAGUGAGGCACCGACGCCCGAACCUGAAGUCUUCUGACGGUUUUGAGGCAGAGCAUGUAUGUUGGGACCCGAAAGAUGGUGAACUAUGCCUGAAUAGGGUGAAGCCAGAGGAAACUCUGGUGGAGGCUCGUAGCGAUUCUGACGUGCAAAUCGAUCGUCAAAUUUGGGUAUAGGGGCGAAAGACUAAUCGAACCAUCUAGUAGCUGGUUCCUGCCGAAGUUUCCCUCAGGAUAGCAGAAACUCACAUCAGUUUUAUGUGGUAAAGCGAAUGAUUAGAGGCCUUGGGGUUGAAACAACCUUAACCUAUUCUCAAACUUUAAAUAUGUAAGAUCGGACCGUCACUUGAUUGGACCGUCUGGCGAAUGAGAGUUUCUAGUGGGCCAUUUUUGGUAAGCAGAACUGGCGAUGCGGGAUGAACCGAU